RNAcentral lists this ribosomal RNA (433 nucleotides) under uncultured bacterium. RNAcentral describes it as "partial 16S ribosomal RNA". It matches the Rfam family "Bacterial small subunit ribosomal RNA", at positions 29 to 507 of the family's 1533-position model. The record is from RNAcentral.
AACGAACGCUGGCGGCAUGCCUAACACAUGCAAGUCGAACGAGACCUUCGGGUCUAGUGGCGCACGGGUGCGUAACGCGUGGGAACCUGCCCUUAGGUUCGGAAUAACUCCCCGAAAGGGGUGCUAAUACCGGAUAAUGUCUUCGGACCAAAGAUUUAUCGCCUUUGGAUGGGCCCGCGUUGGAUUAGCUAGUUGGUAGGGUAAAAGCCUACCAAGGCGACGAUCCAUAGCUGGUCUGAGAGGAUGAUCAGCCACACUGGGAGUGAGACACGGCCCAGAAUCCUACGGGAGGCAGCAGUGGGGAAUAUUGGACAAGGGGCGAAAGUCUGAUCCAGCAAUGCCGCGUGAGUGAUGAAGGCCUUAGGGUUGUAAAGCUCUUUUAACCGGGAUGAUAAUGACAGUACCGGGAGAAUAAGCCCCGGCUAACUCCGUG